CAGAGCAUAGCUAAACAUAGUUAUAGCGCCUCUUUUACACUGAGGAGUCGCCCGUGCAAAUCGGGUUGCCUGA
RNAcentral lists this transfer RNA (73 nucleotides) under Chaenophryne sp. CLS4E. RNAcentral's name for it is "tRNA-Val". It matches the Rfam family "tRNA". From Rfam's summary of the family: Transfer RNA (tRNA) molecules are approximately 80 nucleotides in length. Their secondary structure includes four short double-helical elements and three loops (D, anti-codon, and T loops). The record is from RNAcentral. Lineage: Eukaryota; Metazoa; Chordata; Actinopteri; Lophiiformes; Oneirodidae.